UACGUAGGGUGCAAGCGUUAAUCGGAAUUACUGGGCGUAAAGCGUGCGCAGGCGGUUGUGCAAGGCAGAUGUGAAAUCCCCGGGCUCAACCUGGGAACUGCAUUUGUGACUGCACGGCUGGAGUGCGGCAGAGGGGGAUGGAAUUCCGCGUGUAGCAGUGAAAUGCGUAGAUAUGCGGAGGAACACCGAUGGCGAAGGCAAUCCCCUGGGCCUGCACUGACGCUCAUGCACGAAAGCGUGGGGAGCAAACAGG
RNAcentral lists this ribosomal RNA (253 nucleotides) under uncultured bacterium. RNAcentral's name for it is "partial 16S ribosomal RNA". It matches the Rfam family "Bacterial small subunit ribosomal RNA", at positions 524 to 776 of the family's 1533-position model. The record is from RNAcentral.